AUUGAACGCUGGCGGCAGGCCUAACACAUGCAAGUCGCACGAGUGGCGGACGGGUGAGUCAUGUCUGGGAAACUGCCUGAUGGAGGGGGCUAACUACUGGAAACGGUAGCUAAUACCGCAUACCAUCAGAUGUGCCCAUAUGGGAUUAGCUUGUUGGUGGGGUAACGGCUCACCAAGGCGACGAUCCCUAGCUGGUCUGAGCGGAUGCACAGCCACAAUGGAACUGAGACAAGGUCCAGACUCCUACGGGAGGAAGCAGUGGGGAAUAUUGCACAAGGGGCGCAAGCCUGAUGCAGCUAUGCUGCGUGUAUGAAGAAUGCAUUCGGGUUGUAAAGUACUUUCAGCGGGGAGGCGUUACCCGCAGAAGAAGCACCGGCUAACUCCGUGCCAGCCGCCGCGGUAAUAC
RNAcentral lists this ribosomal RNA (406 nucleotides) under uncultured bacterium. RNAcentral's name for it is "partial 16S ribosomal RNA". It matches the Rfam family "Bacterial small subunit ribosomal RNA", at positions 30 to 526 of the family's 1533-position model. The record is from RNAcentral.